AUCGACUGCGGCCUGGCAGAAUCCCCUCGCCCCCGCCCCUUGUAAAAAAAAGCCUCCUUGUGCAAUGGUCUUUUUCCUUUGAACGUGCUUCUUUGUAAUGACCGAGGUACCGAUUUCUGCUAAGUUUUCCCAACAACAUGAAACUGCCUAUUCACGCCGUAAUUCUUUCUGUCUCCCUCUCACUUUCUCUCUUUCUCUCUCUCUUUCUCUCACCGUCUCCACAUCUUUCCUCGCAACCCCCUCUCCCCGCUGCCCUCCCUAGCUGGCUUUCUCUCUUGCUUCUCUCUUUUCCUCCUGUCCCCCCCCCCCCCCCACUCCCUUUGGUUUGACAAUUUUGUCUUAAGUGUUUCUCAAAAGAGAUUACUUUAGUUAGCAUGCGCGCUGUAAGCAAUUGUUAAAAGUGUUCUUAGGUUUACUGUGAAGAGAAUGUAUCCUGUAUCUGUGAAUUGCUUUAUGGGGGGGGGAGGGAGGGCUAAUUAUAUAUUUUGUUGUUCCUCUAUACUUUGUUCUGUUGUCUGCGCCUGAAAAGGGCGGAAGAGUUACAAUAAAGUUUACAAGCGAGAA
This 564-nucleotide long non-coding RNA is filed under the name Rattus norvegicus (Norway rat). RNAcentral's name for it is "long non-coding RNA NONRATT004798". Lineage: Eukaryota; Metazoa; Chordata; Mammalia; Rodentia; Muridae. The record is from RNAcentral.